UUCUAUGGCCAUACCACCCUGAACAUUCCAAAUCUAGUCCGAUCUCAGAAGCUAAGCAGGGCCUGGCCUGGUCCGCCCUUGAAUAGGAGACUCCUGGGAACACCAGGUGCUACAGGCC
Molecule: ribosomal RNA, 118 nt
Organism: Cercocebus atys (sooty mangabey)
Lineage: Eukaryota; Metazoa; Chordata; Mammalia; Primates; Cercopithecidae
Source: Ensembl